GAUGAACGCUGGCGGCGUGCCUAAUACAUGCAAGUCGAGCGAACAGACGAGGAGCUUGCUCCUCUGACGUUAGCGGCGGACGGGUGAGUAACACGUGGAUAACCUACCUAUAAGACUGGGGUAACUUCGGGAAACCGGAGCUAAUACCGGAUAAUAUAUUGAACCGCAUGGUUCAAUAGUGAAAGACGGUUUUGCUGUCACUUAUAGAUGGAUCCGCGCCGCAUUAGCUAGUUGGUAAGGUAACGGCUUACCAAGGCAACGAUGCGUAGCCGACCUGAGAGGGUGAUCGGCCACACCGGAACUGAGACACGGUCCAGACUCCUACGGGAGGCAGCAGUAGGGAAUCUUCCGCAAUGGGCGAAAGCUUGACGGAGCAACGCCGCGUGAGUGAUGAAGGUCUUCGGAUCGUAAAACUCUGUUAUUAGGGAAGAACAAAUGUGUAAGUAACUAUGCACGUCUUGACGGUACCUAAUCAGAAAGCCACGGCUAACUACGUG
RNAcentral lists this ribosomal RNA (497 nucleotides) under uncultured bacterium. Its description in RNAcentral is "partial 16S ribosomal RNA". It matches the Rfam family "Bacterial small subunit ribosomal RNA", at positions 28 to 507 of the family's 1533-position model. The record is from RNAcentral.